This 115-nucleotide ribosomal RNA is filed under the name Amphibacillus marinus. The record is from RNAcentral. Lineage: Bacteria; Bacillati; Bacillota; Bacilli; Caryophanales; Bacillaceae.
UCUGGUAACGAUAGCGAAGAGGUCACACCUGUUCCCAUGCCGAACACAGUAGUUAAGCUCUUCAGCGCCGAUGGUAGUUGGGUCUAAGCCCUGCAAGAGUAGGACGUCGCUAGGC